RNAcentral lists this ribosomal RNA (380 nucleotides) under uncultured eukaryote. RNAcentral's name for it is "partial 18S ribosomal RNA". It matches the Rfam family "Eukaryotic small subunit ribosomal RNA", at positions 592 to 976 of the family's 1831-position model. The record is from RNAcentral.
CAAUAGCGUAUAUUAAAGUUGUUGCGGUUAAAAAGCUCGUAGUUGGAUUUCUGCCGAGGACGACCGGUCCGCCCUCUGGGUGUGUAUCUGGUUUGGCCUGGGCAUCUUCUUGGAGAACGUAGCUGCACUUGACUGUGUGGUGCGGUGUCCAGGACUUUUACUUUGAGGAAAUUAGAGUGUUUCAAGCAGGCACACGCCUUGAAUACAUUAGCAUGGAAUAAUAAGAUAGGACCUCGGUUCUAUUUUGUUGGUUUCUAGAGCUGAGGUAAUGAUUAAUAGGGAUAGUUGGGGGCAUUCGUAUUUAACUGUCAGAGGUGAAAUUCCUGGAUUUGUUAAAGACGGACUACUGCGAAAGCAUUUGCCAAGGAUGUUUNCAUUGA